This 487-nucleotide ribosomal RNA is filed under the name Pselaphodes sp. QH18. RNAcentral's name for it is "partial large subunit ribosomal RNA". The stretch from base 356 to 487 matches the Rfam family "Bacterial large subunit ribosomal RNA", at positions 2473 to 2605 of the family's 2925-position model. The record is from RNAcentral. Lineage: Eukaryota; Metazoa; Arthropoda; Insecta; Coleoptera; Staphylinidae.
UUAAUCUGCCCACUGAUAUUUAAAUGGCCGCAGUAAUUUAACUGUGCGAAGGGAGCAUAAUAAUUAGUUUUUUUAUUGAAAUCUAAAAUGAAUGAUUGGACGAAAAAAAAUCUGUCUUAAUAUUAAAAUAUUAUAAUUUUAUUUUUAAGUCAAAAAGCUUAAAUAAAUUUAAAAGACAAGAAGACCCCAUAGAGUUUUAUAUUUAUAUUAUUUUAUAUGAUUAGAAUUUUUUUUAUUUAAAAAAUAAAAUAAUUUAUUGGGGUGAUAUAAAAAAAUAAUAAUCUUUUUAUUAUGAUAACAAUAAUUAUUGAUUAUUUGAUCCUUAUAUUGGAUUAAUAAAUUAAAUUACCUUGGGGAUAACAGCGUAAUUUUUUUUAAGAGUUCUUAUCGAAAGAAAAGAUUGCGACCUCGAUGUUGGAUUAAGAUUUAUAUUUGGCGUAAAAGUUAAUAUAUUGAGUCUGUUCGACUUUUAAAAUCUUACAUGAUC